This 253-nucleotide ribosomal RNA is filed under the name uncultured bacterium. RNAcentral's name for it is "partial 16S ribosomal RNA". It matches the Rfam family "Bacterial small subunit ribosomal RNA", at positions 524 to 776 of the family's 1533-position model. The record is from RNAcentral.
UACAGGGGGUGCUAGCGUUGUUCGGAAUUACUGGGCGUAAAGGGCGCGUAGGCGGUUUCGCAAGUCAGGGGUGAAAUCCCGGAGCUUAACUCCGGAAUUGCUUUUGAUACUGUGAGGCUAGAGUGAGUUAGAGGAUGGCGGAAUUCCUAGUGUAGUGGUGAAAUACGUAGAUAUUCGCAAGAACACCAGUGGCGAAGGCGGCUUACUGGUCCGGUUCUGACGCUGAGGCGCGAAAGCGUGGGGAGCAAACAGG